RNAcentral lists this ribosomal RNA (333 nucleotides) under bacterium enrichment culture clone ALO1_GLFRUDD03G4WGJ. Its description in RNAcentral is "bacterial SSU rRNA". It matches the Rfam family "Bacterial small subunit ribosomal RNA", at positions 9 to 342 of the family's 1533-position model. The record is from RNAcentral.
GAGUUUGAUCGUGGCUCAGAUUGAACGCUGGCGGCAGGCCUAACACAUGCAAGUCGAGCGGAUGACGGGAGCUUGCUCCUUGAUUCAGCGGCGGACGGGUGAGUAAUGCCUAGGAAUCUGCCUGGUAGUGGGGGGACAACGUUUCGAAAGGAACGCUAAUACCGCAUACGUCCUACGGGAGAAAGCAGGGACCUUCGGGCCUUGCGCUAUCAGAUGAGCCUAGGUCGGAUUAGCUAGUUGGUGGGGUAAAUGGCUACACCAAGGCGACGAUCCGUAACUGGUCUGAGAGGAUGAUCAGUCACACUGGAACUGAGACACGGUCCAGACUCCUAC